RNAcentral lists this ribosomal RNA (502 nucleotides) under uncultured bacterium. RNAcentral's name for it is "bacterial SSU rRNA". It matches the Rfam family "Bacterial small subunit ribosomal RNA", at positions 28 to 527 of the family's 1533-position model. The record is from RNAcentral.
GAUGAACGCUAGCGGCAGGCUUAACACAUGCAAGUCGAGGGGUAGGUUACUUCGGUAAUUGAGACCGGCGCACGGGUGCGUAACGCGUAUACAAUCUACCUUUUACAGAGGGAUAGCCCAGAGAAAUUUGGAUUAAUACCUCAUAGUAUUUUUGAAUCGCAUGAUUUGAUUAUUAAAGUUCCAACGGUAAAGAUGAGUAUGCGUCCCAUUAGCUAGAUGGUAAGGUAACGGCUUACCAUGGCUACGAUGGGUAGGGGUCCUGAGAGGGAGAUCCCCCCACACUGGUACUGAGACACGGACCAGACUCCUACGGGAGGCAGCAGUGAGGAAUAUUGGACAAUGGGCGCAAGCCUGAUCCAGCCAUGCCGCGUGCAGGAAGAAGGUCCUAUGGAUUGUAAACUGCUUUUANACAAGAAGAAACACUCCCUCGUGAGGGAACUUGACGGUACUGUAUGAAUAAGGACCCGGCUAACUCCGUGCCAGCAGCCGCGGUAAAGUGACU